AUGCUUACUCUGCAGAGAUGUGUGAAGAGAGUCAAGAAUGAUGAAACUGGGCAGAAGCACUGCACCGGGCAAUUCUUCGACUACUGGUCAUGCGUUGACAAAUGUGUAAGUACAACCUGUACAUCGACUAGUUCCAAACUACCGUUCGUGGAGUGUUAA
This 159-nucleotide ribosomal RNA is filed under the name Triticum aestivum (bread wheat). Its description in RNAcentral is "partial small subunit ribosomal RNA". The record is from RNAcentral. Lineage: Eukaryota; Viridiplantae; Streptophyta; Magnoliopsida; Poales; Poaceae.